RNAcentral lists this ribosomal RNA (440 nucleotides) under uncultured bacterium. RNAcentral's name for it is "partial 16S ribosomal RNA". It matches the Rfam family "Bacterial small subunit ribosomal RNA", at positions 338 to 795 of the family's 1533-position model. The record is from RNAcentral.
CCUACGGGGGGCAGCAGUGGGGGAUAUUGCACAAUGGGGGGAACCCUGAUGCAGCGACGCCGCGUGGGUGAAGGAGCGUUUCGGCGCGUAAAGCCCUAUCGGCAGGGAAGAAGAUGACGGUACCUGGCCAAGAAGCCCCGGCUAACUACGUGCCAGCAGCCGCGGUAAUACGUAGGGGGCAAGCGUUAUCCGGAUUUACUGGGUGUAAAGGGGGCGCAGACGGCAAUGCAAGCCAGGAGUGAAAGCCCGGGGCCCAACCCCGGGACUGCUCUUGGAACUGCAUGGCUGGAGUACAGGAGGGGGAGGCGGAAUUCCUAGUGUAGCGGUGAAAUGCGUAGAUAUUAGGAGGAACACCGGUGGCGAAGGCGGCCUGCUGGACUGUGACUGACGUUGAGGGCCGAAGGCGUGGGGAGCAAACAGGAUUAGAUACCCUAGUAGUC